AUAUAUAUAUUAAAUUGUUGUUAAAUAUGAUCCGCAACAUUAAGCUUGCUGCUCAUAACAUUAAUUGUAGUAUAAAGAACUCCAAACUAACUUGUAAAGAUAGUUAAAGUGAUUAUAUUAAGCUUCUUGAUGAUUAAAAAAAAAAGUUAAAAGUAUGACUUUGUUAAUCAACAAUUUUUUUUAGUAGAGAAUUGGGGGAAUGGGAAUUCAAACAUUGUUUUGCCAAGUGUGUGAUAAGCUUUCAGUCACUAGACCAACCCAAGCUAGACUUGUUAAUCAACAAUUUUGAUAACUAUGGUCUUAUUGUAUAAUCAUAUUUAACAUCAAGUAUCACACUAAUUUUGAUACUAUUGAUAUGAACUUAGGAGAACCA
Molecule: unclassified non-coding RNA, 373 nt
Filed under: Hevea brasiliensis (rubber tree)
Lineage: Eukaryota; Viridiplantae; Streptophyta; Magnoliopsida; Malpighiales; Euphorbiaceae
Source: RNAcentral